Schistosoma margrebowiei is the source of this 45-nucleotide non-coding RNA. The record is from Rfam. Lineage: Eukaryota; Metazoa; Platyhelminthes; Trematoda; Strigeidida; Schistosomatidae.
AUGCAGCUGAUGAAUCCCAAAUGGGACGAGACGCGCGUCUUGGAU